Selaginella moellendorffii is the source of this 736-nucleotide long non-coding RNA. RefSeq lists it as uncharacterized. The transcript has 2 exons. Lineage: Eukaryota; Viridiplantae; Streptophyta; Lycopodiopsida; Selaginellales; Selaginellaceae. The record is from RefSeq and is a predicted model, not a curated record.
AAAAGGGGAAUGCUGCGAGUGUAGCAUUGCUUUGAUCACAUGCAUAUGGUGCCUGGCCAGCCAGCACGUCGAUGACUCCCAACAGCAGCACUAAAGGCAGCAACGCGUCUUUGCAGAUCUGGGUGCACCACUCAAGAAGAAAUCUGUAGCCACUCAUUGGUUGAAGGAGAAUCUCCACUGAGGCAUGAUAUAUCGCUUCUGCGAGCUGACUGAGACGAGCGUGAGCUCCGCGAGCUCUGAUAUACGAGAUAAGAUUGCUGAAUCAUUUAUCAUAUCCGUUGCUUCCUCGGCUCACUCCAUCCCAGGAUAAGAAGAGCAGGAAGAGAAGAAGAGGACGCCUCAAUUCUCCUCUCUACAAGCACCGGCCACGGAGAGCGAGCAAAAAGAAUACGACGAGGAUUGAAACAAAACAGUGCACACAAAGUUCCACGCCAAAACGAUCAAGCUCUGUAGAAGUAAGCUCCUCCUUGUCUCGCUCCCGCUCCUUUCAGCAUUGCAUUUAUAACCAAGUUCUCACUUUCUCUUCACAGGCUCUCUCUCUCUCUCUCUCUCUCUCUCUCUCUCUCACUUUCACUUCACGCUCUCGCGACUCGACUCGGCCGAUCUACGUUCUCCCAAUCCCGAUUUAUUCUCGCGCUCGCUCGAUGCCAAAGGCCAGUCUGCCAAGUUUAUAUUUUCAUUCUCUCACUUUUUUGCUCAGUGCUCUGAUCGUUCUUACAAGAAGUGGUAAUAAGCA